RNAcentral lists this ribosomal RNA (119 nucleotides) under Pteropus alecto (black flying fox). The record is from RNAcentral. Lineage: Eukaryota; Metazoa; Chordata; Mammalia; Chiroptera; Pteropodidae. RNAcentral also lists the same sequence under 1 other name.
GUCUAUGGCCAUGCUAUCCUGAACAUGCCCAAUCUCAUCUGAUCUCAGAAACUGAGCAGAGUCGGGCCUGAUUAGUACUUGAAUGGGAGAUCACCUAGGAAGACCAGGUGCUGUAGGCU